Phragmites australis (common reed) is the source of this 1713-nucleotide long non-coding RNA. RefSeq lists it as uncharacterized. The transcript has 5 exons. The record is from RefSeq and is a predicted model, not a curated record. NCBI's taxonomy places the organism in Eukaryota, Viridiplantae, Streptophyta, Magnoliopsida, Poales, Poaceae.
AUCGGAGGUAUGUGUUAAUGAUACGUGCCAUACAAAUCAUUGAGUCGGGAACUUUCGGUGGCCCACAGAAGCCCGCGGCUGCUCAUCCACACAUCCACGGCCGAAUCGUGCGCUUCUGGCCAGAAGGCGAGAUCAACCGCGCUAUCUACCUGCCUCCCGCAUCCGCUCCGCGAGGAAUCGGCUGCCUGCCUCGUCGCCCUCCCCGCCGCGGCGCCGAACCCACAAACUGCAGGCGCGGUGAGCUCACCGCAAUCGCACUGCCUCCGCACGGUAAUUUCGUCGAACAGCAGUCAAAAAUCAGGUCGCCCGUCGCGUAGGUGUUGUAGAAGAUGGUGGCGCUGAAGUACAGCGCUGCCGUGAGGGUGAGGAAGGCCUGGAAGGACCCUAGCCACUGGACGAAGUAGCCAGUUCCGAUGGUGCUAACUAUGGCGGCCACUGUCCCGAUGCCGUUCGUCAGUCCUGUGCACGCAGCAGAAGAGAUGUCAGGUACAGGGUCAAGACUGCAUUGCGGCAUUGGUAAUUACUGGAUCGUUAAAUCCUGUCAAGUGUACAAAUGCUCAAAUGAGGGACAUACCGUGCAAAGAUCCAGCAUAUUUGGGAGCAAUGUCCUGUGUGAAAGAUCAAGUAAAAUGCAUUCGUUCAGACUUGUCACAGUGUAGUUGUUAUAGAAGCAGCACCACAGAAAGGAAAAAGGAGGUCAUUGGAGUUUAGGUGGUAUGAUCAGGAUAUGCAGGAGACUCUACCUGUACGUUACAAAAGUAUCCAGCUUGACUGAAGGAACUCAAGCUCAGGGCAAUGGUCAUGAGAGCCGCAGCAACUGAUGGAGUUUGGGCAAAUCUUAAGCAUAGCAAUGACACACCCGGCCCCAUAAAACCAAUGGACUGCAGAGAAACCAGAAUUGUGAUGAGUCUUGUGUUCCAGGUUGUGCGAGUUAUCAGCCUAUUCUGUGAGCUGUGCAAGGCCAAGGCUAAUCUCAGACGACGCUUUUACCUGCAUAAUUUUACGAACUAGUGCAGUGGAGAAACCAGAUUUGAUCAGGAAAUCUGCAGAAGCUCCUGCAACAUAACCGGACACAGCCAUGACUGCCCAAGCCAUUUCAGGCUUGAGAGAUUGAUGUUGGUUAAAGUAAAACUACUUAUAUGCCAAUUAUGAGCAAAUUCAAUGGGUGAAAUAAGUUACUCACUUAGGUAAGAAGGUGCUCAUUGUCGGAAAUGCCACACCUUCUGCAAGGCCAAAGAGUGCACGCAUAGCAAGCAACAUGAUGGUGGAGCGGGAGGCAGCCCAAGGAGUGAGGAAAGUAGCCAAGGACCAGAGUGCAGCAGCACCUGCCAUCACCUUCUUCCCGCCAUAUCGGUCUGCCAAAGCUCCUCCAACCAUGGAUGAGAAAACAUAUCCCCACAAAAAUGAUGACUGCAGAAGUGGAUAAGAUUCAACCUCAAGCCAACCAGUUUAAUAGCAAGAGAACAAGUAGUAUUCGUUCGAGGCUAGGUUUUUGUUGAGUGACUUCUAAUCAUUGAAUUGUAUUUCGGUGUGAGCGGAAACUUGGGAUGCAAUCUUUCUGGUCCUUAUCACCAGAUGAAAAGGAGAGUACUGAAUCAGCCGUGCAUUACCUGGACGAUGCCCACGAAGGAGCUGGACCAGCCGUGCUGCGCGGCCAGCGGCACGACGGCGACGGACAUGACCACCCGGUCGGCGUUGCAGAGCAGCAUAAUG